AUCCUGUAGUCGAAAAUGUUGUCUCUCUUGAGUGGAUCCUGAGUACGACGGAGCACGUGAAAUUCCGUCGGAAUUUGGGAGGACCAUCUCCUAAGGCUAAAUACUCUCUAGUGACCGAUAGCGAACCAGUACCGUGAGGGAAAGGUGAAAAGCACCCCGGAAGGGGAGUGAAAUAGAACCUGAAACCGUGUGCUUACAAGUAGUCAGAGCCCGUUAAUGGGUGAUGGCGUGCCUUUUGUAGAAUGAACCGGCGAGUUACGAUUUGAUGCAAGGUUAAGCAGUAAAUGUGGAGCCGUAGCGAAAGCGAGUCUGAAUAGGGCGUUUAGUAUUUGGUCGUAGACCCGAAACCAGGUGAUCUACCCUUGGUCAGGUUGAAGUUCAGGUAACACUGAAUGGAGGACCGAACCGACUUACGUUGAAAAGUGAGCGGAUGAACUGAGGGUAGCGGAGAAAUUCCAAUCGAACCUGGAGAUAGCUGGUUCUCUCCGAAAUAGCUUUAGGGCUAGCCUCAAGUGAUGAUUAUUGGAGGUAGAGCACUGUUUGGACGAGGGGCCCCUCUCGGGUUACCGAAUUCAGACAAACUCCGAAUGCCAAUUAAUUUAACUUGGGAGUCAGAACAUGGGUGAUAAGGUCCGUGUUCGAAAGGGAAACAGCCCAGACCACCAGCUAAGGUCCCAAAAUAUAUGUUAAGUGGAAAAGGAUGUGGCGUUGCCCAGACAACUAGGAUGUUGGCUUAGAAGCAGCCAUCAUUUAAAGAGUGCGUAAUAGCUCACUAGUCGAGUGACACUGCGCCGAAAAUGUACCGGGGCUAAACAUAUUACCGAAGCUGUGGAUUGUCCUUUGGACAAUGGUAGGAGAGCGUUCUAAGGGCGUUGAAGCAUGAUCGUAAGGACAUGUGGAGCGCUUAGAAGUGAGAAUGCCGGUGUGAGUAGCGAAAGACGGGUGAGAAUCCCGUCCACCGAUUGACUAAGGUUUCCAGAGGAAGGCUCGUCCGCUCUGGGUUAGUCGGGUCCUAAGCUGAGGCCGACAGGCGUAGGCGAUGGAUAACAGGUUGAUAUUCCUGUACCACCUAUAAUCGUUUUAAUCGA
Molecule: ribosomal RNA, 1088 nt
Filed under: Staphylococcus aureus
Lineage: Bacteria; Bacillati; Bacillota; Bacilli; Caryophanales; Staphylococcaceae
Description: partial 23S ribosomal RNA
Rfam family: Bacterial large subunit ribosomal RNA
Source: RNAcentral